RNAcentral lists this ribosomal RNA (28 nucleotides) under Boesenbergia pulchella var. attenuata. RNAcentral's name for it is "partial 26S ribosomal RNA". Lineage: Eukaryota; Viridiplantae; Streptophyta; Magnoliopsida; Zingiberales; Zingiberaceae. The record is from RNAcentral.
UGGCCCCAAGUCAGGCGAGGCCACCCGC